AAAACUGCCAGAUUCUUGCAAAAACGCUAUUGAAAGACACAGUAGAGGAAGAAUUUGCAUGAAAAAUGUAUGA
This is a non-coding RNA of Caenorhabditis elegans, 73 nucleotides long. NCBI's taxonomy places the organism in Eukaryota, Metazoa, Nematoda, Chromadorea, Rhabditida, Rhabditidae. The record is from Ensembl.